RNAcentral lists this ribosomal RNA (253 nucleotides) under uncultured bacterium. RNAcentral's name for it is "partial 16S ribosomal RNA". It matches the Rfam family "Bacterial small subunit ribosomal RNA", at positions 524 to 776 of the family's 1533-position model. The record is from RNAcentral.
UACAGAGACUGCAAGCGUUAUUCGGAUUCACUGGGCGUAAAGGGUGCGCAGGCGGCCGUGUGUGUCAGGUGUGAAAGCCCGGAGCUUAACUCCGGAAUUGCGCCUGAAACUACAUGGCUAGAGCAUUGGAGAGGGUAGCGGAAUUCACGGUGUAGCAGUGAAAUGCGUAGAUAUCGGGUGGAACACCAGUGGCGAAGGCGCCUGUCUGGCUGACAACUGACGCUGAGACUCGAAAGCAUGGGGAGCAAACAGG